GCAUAUCAAUAAGCGGAGGAAAAGAAACUAACAAGGAUUCCCCUAGUAGCGGCGAGCGAAGCGGGAAGAGCUCAAAUUUAUAAUCUGGCACCUUCGGUGUCCGAGUUGUAAUCUCUAGAAAUGUUUUCCGCGUUGGACCGCACACAAGUCUGUUGGAAUACAGCGGCAUAGUGGUGAGACCCCCGUAUAUGGUGCGGACGCCCAGCGCUUUGUGAUACAUUUUCGAAGAGUCGAGUUGUUUGGGAAUGCAGCUCAAAUUGGGUGGUAAAUUCCAUCUAAAGCUAAAUAUUGGCGAGAGACCGAUAGCGAACAAGUACCGUGAGGGAAAGAUGAAAAGCACUUUGGAAAGAGAGUUAACAGUACGUGAAAUUGUUGGAAGGGAAACGCUUGAAGUCAGACUUGCUUGCCGAGCAAUCGGUUUGCAGGCCAGCAUCAGUUUUCCGGGAUGGAUAAUGGUAGAGAGAAGGUAGCAGUUUCGGCUGUGUUAUAGCUCUCUGCUGGAUACAUCUUGGGGGACUGAGGAACGCAGUGUGCCUUUGGCGGGGGUU
This 548-nucleotide ribosomal RNA is filed under the name Rhodotorula mucilaginosa. RNAcentral describes it as "eukaryotic LSU rRNA". It matches the Rfam family "Eukaryotic large subunit ribosomal RNA", at positions 38 to 582 of the family's 3401-position model. The record is from RNAcentral. Lineage: Eukaryota; Fungi; Basidiomycota; Microbotryomycetes; Sporidiobolales; Sporidiobolaceae.